Molecule: ribosomal RNA, 1154 nt
Filed under: Candidatus Profftia adelgis
Lineage: Bacteria; Pseudomonadati; Pseudomonadota; Gammaproteobacteria; Enterobacterales; Enterobacteriaceae
Description: bacterial SSU rRNA
Rfam family: Bacterial small subunit ribosomal RNA
Source: RNAcentral
AAGUGGGGGACCUUCGGGCCUCACGCCCUCAGAUGUACCCAGAUGAGAUUAGCUAGUAGGUGGGGUAAUGGCUCACCUAGGCUAUGAUCUCUAGCUGGUCUGAGAGGAUGACCAGCCACACUGGAACUGAGACACGGUCUAGACUCCUACGGGAGGCAGCAGUGGGGAAUAUUGCACAAUGGGCGCAAGCCUGAUGCAGCCAUGCCGCGUGUAUGAAGAAAGCCUUCGGGUUGUAAAGUACUUUCAGCAAGAAAGAAAGUAUUUUAGUUAAUAACUAAAAUAAUUGACGUUACUUGCAAAAGAAGCACCGGCUAACUCCGUGCCAGCAGCCGCGGUAAUACGGAGGGUGCGAGCGUUAAUCGGAAUUACUGGGCUUAAAGCGUACGUAGGCGGUUAAUUAAGUUAGAUGUGAAAUCCCCGAGCUUAACUUGGGAAUUGCAUUUAAAACUGGUUAGCUAGAGUCUUGUAGAGGAGGGUAGAAUUCUAGGUGUAGCGGUGAAAUGCGUAGAUAUCUAGAGGAAUACCAGUGGCGAAGGCGGCCCCCUGGACAAAGACUGACGCUCAGGUACGAAAGCGUGGGGAGCAAACAGGAUUAGAUACCCUGGUAGUCCACGCCGUAAACGAUGUCGACUUGGAGGUUGUGCCCUUGAGGUGUGGCUUCCGGAGCUAACGCGUUAAGUCGACCGCCUGGGGAGUACGGCCGCAAGGCUAAAACUCAAAUGAAUUGACGGGGGCCCGCACAAGCGGUGGAGCAUGUGGUUUAAUUCGAUGCAACGCGAAAAACCUUACCUACUCUUGACAUUCAGAGAAUUUGCUAGAGAUAGCUUAGUGCCUUCGGGAGCUUUGAAACAGGUGCUGCAUGGCUGUCGUCAGCUCGUGUUGUGAAAUGUUGGGUUAAGUCCCGCAACGAGCGCAACCCUUGUCCUUUGUUGCCAGCACGUAAAGGUGGGAACUCAAAGGAGACUGCCGGUGAUAAGCUGGAGGAAGGUGGGGAUGACGUCAAGUCAUCAUGGCCCUUACGAGUAGGGCUACACACGUGCUACAAUGGCAUAUACAAAGAGCAGCAAACUCGCGAGAGCAAGCGAACCUCAUAAAGUAUGUCGUAGUCCGGAUUGGAGUCUGCAACUCGACUCCAUGAAGUCGGAAUCGCUAGU